Molecule: ribosomal RNA, 1412 nt
Filed under: Lysinibacillus fusiformis
Lineage: Bacteria; Bacillati; Bacillota; Bacilli; Caryophanales; Bacillaceae
Also listed under: 1 other name
Description: 23S rRNA. Bacterial LSU
Rfam family: Bacterial large subunit ribosomal RNA
Source: RNAcentral
AGAGCACUGUUUGGACUAGGGGGCCAUCCCGGUUUACCGAAUUCAGACAAACUCCGAAUGCCAGAUAUUUAUACACGGGAGUCAGACUGCGAGUGAUAAGAUCCGUAGUCAAAAGGGAAACAGCCCAGACCACCAGCUAAGGUCCCAAAGUAAUCGUUAAGUGGAAAAGGAUGUGGCGUUGCACAGACAACCAGGAUGUUGGCUUAGAAGCAGCCAUCAUUUAAAGAGUGCGUAAUAGCUCACUGGUCGAGUGACGCUGCGCCGAAAAUGUAUCGGGGCUAAACGAUUCACCGAAGCUGUGGAUUGACAUCUACGAUGUCAGUGGUAGGAGAGCGUUCUAAGUGCGUUGAAGUCAGACCGGAAGGACUGGUGGAGCGCUUAGAAGUGAGAAUGCCGGUAUGAGUAGCGAAAGACGGGUGAGAAUCCCGUCCACCGUAUGACUAAGGUUUCCUGAGGAAGGCUCGUCCGCUCAGGGUUAGUCGGGACCUAAGCCGAGGCCGAUAGGCGUAGGCGAUGGACAACAGGUUGAUAUUCCUGUACCACCUCCUCACCGUUUGAGAAAUGGGGGGACGCAGUAGGAUAGGGUAAGCGCGCUGUUGGUUAUGCGCGUCCAAGCAGUAAGGCGUGUGUGUAGGCAAAUCCGCACACUGUAACGUUGAGCUGUGAUGGCGAGUCCGUAUGGACGAAGUUCCUGAUUUCACACUGCCAAGAAAAGCCUCUAUCGAGGUGAGAGGUGCCCGUACCGCAAACCGACACAGGUAGUCGAGGAGAGAAUCCUAAGGUGUGCGAGAGAACUCUCGUUAAGGAACUCGGCAAAAUGACCCCGUAACUUCGGGAGAAGGGGUGCUCUUGAGCGUGCAAGCGCAUGAGAGCCGCAGUGAAUAGGCCCAGGCGACUGUUUAGCAAAAACACAGGUCUCUGCAAAACCGUAAGGUGACGUAUAGGGGCUGACGCCUGCCCGGUGCUGGAAGGUUAAGAGGAGUGGUUAGCGCAAGCGAAGCUGCGAAUUGAAGCCCCAGUAAACGGCGGCCGUAACUAUAACGGUCCUAAGGUAGCGAAAUUCCUUGUCGGGUAAGUUCCGACCCGCACGAAAGGCGUAACGAUCUGGGCACUGUCUCAACGAGAGACUCGGUGAAAUUAUAGUACCUGUGAAGAUGCAGGUUACCCGCGACAGGACGGAAAGACCCCGUGGAGCUUUACUGUAGCCUGAUAUUGAAUUUUGGUACAACUUGUACAGGAUAGGUAGGAGCCAGAGAUCUCGGAGCGCCAGCUUCGAAGGAGGCGUCGGUGGGAUACUACCCUGGUUGUAUUGAAAUUCUAACCCAUGCCCCUUAGCGGGGCAGGAGACAGUGUCAGGCGGACAGUUUGACUGGGGCGGUCGCCUCCUAAAAGGUAACGGAGGCGCCCAAAGG